AUCCAGCUGACAAGUCCCAAAUAGGAUGAAGUGGGGUGCGUCCUGGAU
This is a non-coding RNA of Schistosoma mattheei, 48 nucleotides long. The record is from Rfam. NCBI's taxonomy places the organism in Eukaryota, Metazoa, Platyhelminthes, Trematoda, Strigeidida, Schistosomatidae.